This 514-nucleotide ribosomal RNA is filed under the name uncultured bacterium. RNAcentral's name for it is "partial 16S ribosomal RNA". It matches the Rfam family "Bacterial small subunit ribosomal RNA", at positions 28 to 523 of the family's 1533-position model. The record is from RNAcentral.
GAUGAACGCUGGCGGCGUGCCUAAUACAUGCAAGUCGAGCGAACAGAUGAGAAGCUUGCUUCUCUGAUGUUAGCGGCGGACGGGUGAGUAACACGUGGGUAACCUACCUAUAAGACUGGGAUAACUCCGGGAAACCGGGGCUAAUACCGGAUAAUAUUUUGAACCGCAUGGUUCAAUAGUGAAAGACGGUUUCGGCUGUCACUUAUAGAUGGACCCGCGCCGUAUUAGCUAGUUGGUAAGGUAACGGCUUACCAAGGCGACGAUACGUAGCCGACCUGAGAGGGUGAUCGGCCACACUGGAACUGAGACACGGUCCAGACUCCUACGAGAGGCAGCAGUAGGGAAUCUUCCGCAAUGGGCGAAAGCCUGACGGAGCAACGCCGCGUGAGUGAUGAAGGUCUUCGGAUCGUAAAACUCUGUUGUUAGGGAAGAACAAAUUUGUUAGUAACUGAACAAGUCUUGACGGUACCUAACCAGAAAGCCACGGCUAACUAUGUGCCAGCCGCCGCAGUAA